AUUGAACGCUGGCGGCAUGCUUUACACAUGCAAGUCGAACGGCAGCGCGGGGGCAACCCUGGCGGCGAGUGGCGAACGGGUGAGUAAUGCAUCGGAACGUAUCCUGUAAUGGGGGAUAACGUAGCGAAAGUUACGCUAAUACCGCAUACGCUCGAGAGAGGAAAGUGGGGGAUCGCAAGACCUCACGUUAUAGGAGCGGCCGAUGUCCGAUUAGCUAGUUGGUGGGGUAAAGGCCUACCAAGGCGACGAUCGGUAGCUGGUCUGAGAGGAUGAUCAGCCACACUGGGACUGAGACACGGCCCAGACUCCUACGGGAGGCAGCAGUGGGGAAUUUUGGUACAAUAGG
RNAcentral lists this ribosomal RNA (346 nucleotides) under uncultured bacterium. RNAcentral's name for it is "bacterial SSU rRNA". It matches the Rfam family "Bacterial small subunit ribosomal RNA", at positions 30 to 375 of the family's 1533-position model. The record is from RNAcentral.